Long non-coding RNA from Sinocyclocheilus anshuiensis, 653 nucleotides. RefSeq lists it as uncharacterized. The record is from RefSeq and is a predicted model, not a curated record. NCBI's taxonomy places the organism in Eukaryota, Metazoa, Chordata, Actinopteri, Cypriniformes, Cyprinidae. The transcript has 3 exons.
AUAUUGAUGGAAAGUGUUUUCAAAUUCAAACAAAACAUUUUCAUAUUUGGCUGAAAUAGAGCAAAUAAUUUAAUUUGUUCCACAAAGCUGUGAUGAUGAUGAUGAUGAUGAUGAUGAUGAUGAUGGUUUGUUUCAGCCUCUGCAGAAAAAGAGUGACGACACGUACCGAGAGAUCGAGACGAAGCCAGGCCAGCGGCGCCGAACUGAUCAGGUUUAUCAGGGUUUGAGCUCCGUGACUAAAGACACGUAUGAUUCUCUGCACAUGCAGCAGAUUCACCCGCCGCCGCGCUAAACGCUGAUCCUCCACCGUCAGCAUCUCAGUCCACAUUCAUUAUUCAUUCCUGCUCUUGCUUCUUAAGCCUUCCAGGUGUUUCUUUCCUACAGACUCCGGAGAUUAUUCAGUGUUUCUCCACUUUGUGAAUUAUAGACUUUCAUAAUGAGCUCACAUCACACAUGUACAGUAGAGUCAGAAGAAAAAUCGAUAUUAAACCAAACCUGAUUGCAGAACGAACGCUUAACUCUCUGGUAUUGUUCAUUCGGGAGUCACACUUGUUGUUCACCGGUCAAAACAGACCGGAGGUCAUAAUCGUGUGCAAAUUUUAUUUUUUGUGAAGAUUUCAUUUCAAUAAUGAUUUUCUUUAAUAUUUAGCAUU